This is a long non-coding RNA of Anneissia japonica, 804 nucleotides long. RefSeq lists it as uncharacterized. The transcript has 3 exons. The record is from RefSeq and is a predicted model, not a curated record. NCBI's taxonomy places the organism in Eukaryota, Metazoa, Echinodermata, Crinoidea, Comatulida, Comatulidae.
UUAUUUAGUUAGUUUACUACUCUAAUAGACAGUAGUGGCUAUCGGCACGCUAGCCUCCUCCUAGGCCUAGUAGUAGUGGUAGAUGAAGGCUUGAAUGAAGAGGCCUGGCCUAGCCUAAUUCCUACAGUAGCUGUACCGGUACUAGCCUAGCCGCCGUACGGAGACAGACAGAACUGAGGUUCUGUGUUCUCUCUAGGCCAUUGAGGAUAUAGGGCUAGGCCUAGAACCUGGGCCUUUUGUUGGCCUAGCUAAGCUGAUACUCAACUCUCGGUAACUACUGUAAGUGAAAAUUCAAUCCAGUCAACUCAAUCAUUGUAGUAAGAAAGCAUUAAUGUUUGUUUGAAGAUGUAUCUGUGAAGGCCAGAAAAUUACCUAACUUACUAAAGCAAGAGUGAAACUCCGAGAAAUGUUAGUAGAAGUCACAGUGAUUUAGUAUUUCAAACUAGAUUUGUUCAACGGCAUAAUUCAUACUAAUUUAGCUUGGUACCAUCUGACAAGAAAAGGCAUGGACAGUUGCUGCUGCAAUAUCACAAAGAAUGCUGGUUUAUGCACACCUGUAACUGUCACAAAUGGUUCUUGAAUAUUGUUUUAUAUAAUAAACUCUUGUAAUAGGACUACAUUACGAAAAAAAGAUGCUUAUUUAAACCGGACUGUAAAAGCAAAGAACUGUAGAACAGCCUUGAACUUGAGGUACAGUAUGUUUAGCAGUAAGACAUUAGCAAAAUGAUAAUAUAUGAAGGGGUAUGCUAGUAAAUGAGACCCUAGGGAAGUAAUGUCCCUACCGUAUGUGUUUGUUAGUGUUUU